CAGGAAGUGUGGAGCCAAACGGAGUACGGUGCAUAGACUGUACAUAAUUUUUUUUUUCGUGAGUUUUCAUGCUCAAAAUGAGAGAUCAGGUGGCCGAUCUUAAAAUAAAUCAAUACUGAUUUUUUUUAUAGAGCGUUAAAGUUUUGCGAAGCCAGGGGGCGGGACUACUUGAUUGACAGUCCGUUCCGGAACGAUUGACAGGUCCUAUGGAGGAGGCAGCAGAGACUCUGUUCUCCUCGUUUGGAUUAAUUCUGACAUAAUAACUGUUGGUUUAUUUAUCGGUGGAGCAGCAGAACAUUUUCUACAGACAGUUUUCCUGCCCGUUGGCUUGUUUUAACCAGUUUUCUACCUUCGGCUGAUUCUACCAGCAGACUCUGAAAGGACUCUUAGUUCAAGUGAAAGCAGCAGUUCCUCCUUAAGGUCAGAGAUUGCAGCAUCUGAGGGCCUCUUCAAAAGAAGACGUAGUUGAUGAAGGCAUUCUGGAGCAGGACCAGAAAGACCACGACCAAGCAGCCUUGAGAUCUUAGGCAGCGUCUCCCUCAGGUCCCUCUCUAUCUCCCCACACAUCCACCAACCACUGGAACACAUCUCCAAAGUUCUGCCGGGCCAGCUCAGCUUCCCCUCAGAAGAAGUGCCGCCACCUGCCAGAUGAAGGAGCCUUUUGAGAGGCAGCUGGCAUCGUGAUUGGACUGUACUUUGGUCUGUUCCAAUCCAGCUUCAGCUCCAGAGACGGCAGGCAGGACGAGUCAACGGAGGCCGGGUGGACGAAGGCAUGCAGCUGAGUACAAUCCAGAAAACAACAGAGGAGGAGCGCAGCGGCCCAGGACCAGAACAACCAGAGUAUGUCUCUUAGAAAACAUCAUAGUAUAGCCUUUGCUAUGAAAAAACACCAUCAUAUACAUCAUAGAUUGUACAAAUAACAAGUCAAAGGAAAGAGACAUACAUUGUAGAAUUGUAGUAAUUGUGGGCUGAUUGAUUUACUGAUUAUCAGUAUUUUAUUUUUUACUGAUUUACGGUAAUAAAUACAUUUAAAAAUGGUGCUACUUUGGCUCUGAACCUUUAUCUACCUGUGGUUGCUCUGUCUACUAGAGUGCUUUGAUUGGUUAUACAUCACGAAUAAAAC
Amphiprion ocellaris (clown anemonefish) is the source of this 1123-nucleotide long non-coding RNA. The record is from Ensembl. Lineage: Eukaryota; Metazoa; Chordata; Actinopteri; Pomacentridae.